AACGUACCCGGGAGUGGGGGAUAACUAUCCGAAAGGAUAGCUAAUACCGCAUAUUCUGUGCGCAGGAAAGCAGGGGAUCUUCGGACCUUGUGCUCCCGGAGCGGCCGAUGUCAGAUUAGCUAGUUGGUGGGGUAAAGGCCUACCAAGGCGACGAUCUGUAGCGGGUCUGAGAGGAUGAUCCGCCACACUGGAACUGAGACACGGUCCAGACUCCUACGGGAGGCAGCAGUGGGGAAUUUUGGACAAUGGGCGCAAGCCUGAUCCAGCCAUGCCGCGUGAGUGAAGAAGGCCUUCGGGUUGUAAAGCUCUUUCGGCCGGGAAGAAAUCGUAUAGGUUAAUACCCUGUGCGGAUGACGGUACCGGCAUAAGAAGCACCGGCUAACUACGUGCCAGCAGCCGCGGUAAUACGUAGGGUGCGAGCGUUAAUCGGAAUUACUGGGCGUAAAGCGUGCGCAGGCGGUUUUUUAAGAUAGGCGUGAAAUCCCCGGGCUCAACCUGGGAACUG
This 505-nucleotide ribosomal RNA is filed under the name uncultured bacterium. RNAcentral describes it as "bacterial SSU rRNA". It matches the Rfam family "Bacterial small subunit ribosomal RNA", at positions 123 to 623 of the family's 1533-position model. The record is from RNAcentral.